UGCUGGAAUUCCUGUUGCAAU
Caenorhabditis elegans is the source of this 21-nucleotide non-coding RNA. Lineage: Eukaryota; Metazoa; Nematoda; Chromadorea; Rhabditida; Rhabditidae. The record is from Ensembl.